This 66-nucleotide transfer RNA is filed under the name Typhlatya mitchelli. RNAcentral describes it as "tRNA-Tyr". It matches the Rfam family "tRNA". From Rfam's summary of the family: Transfer RNA (tRNA) molecules are approximately 80 nucleotides in length. Their secondary structure includes four short double-helical elements and three loops (D, anti-codon, and T loops). The record is from RNAcentral. Lineage: Eukaryota; Metazoa; Arthropoda; Malacostraca; Decapoda; Atyidae.
GGUUAGGUGGCUGAGGUUUAGGCGGUAGAUUGUAAAUUUAUAGACGGAUAAAUGUUCCCCUAGCUA